Neodiprion virginianus is the source of this 1021-nucleotide RNA transcript. It is a transcript of the gene named prefoldin subunit 2-like, with no coding region annotated. Lineage: Eukaryota; Metazoa; Arthropoda; Insecta; Hymenoptera; Diprionidae. The record is from RefSeq and is a predicted model, not a curated record. The transcript has 4 exons.
AACGAAUCUCCAAAUAUGUCGAGUGACAAGAAAGCUGGAAAAUCCUCGAUCAGAGGUGGAAAAUCUAACGAAGAAAUAUUCGCCGGUUUUCAAACUCUGCGUAACGAGCAGAGGGUGAUGGCAAAUAAGCUGUCAGAAAUGGAAAUGGAGAUGAACGAGCAUAAGAUCGUUAUCGACACUUUGAAAAAUGUCGAUCCCUCCCGAAAAUGCUACAGAAUGAUCGGCGGCAUUUUGUGUGAACGUACAGUCCAGGAAAUCACGCCAACGUUAAUAUCCAACAAAGAGCAGUUAGCCAAGGUGAUAGAUGCACUGAACGUGCAGCUCGCAAAGAAGGGGCAUGAAAUAAACGAGUAUAAAGAAAAACACAACAUUAGAAUUCGUGGUCAGGAUGAACUGCAACAACCGGAAGAAGAUGACGCGAAACAAGCCAAGAGAAAUGCAAUAGUUGUUAACCCAAUCGAAGUCUGAUGCUAAUAAUUAUAUUCUGAUCUUAACAUAACUUCCCAUACUGUUCUUUUCUGAACUCAACGUGUAUUAUUAUUUUUUAUUGGAUAUAAAGAAAGAGAAAAAUCUAAUUCAGAUGUUUGCUAACGAGUUUAUCAAAUUAGUUUGUGGGUUCUUUUCCAAAUAUUUUUAUAUUACCGUUCGGUUGUAUUUGGAAACCCAAAUUACACAUUUCAAAAUAUUGUCCAGCACUUUUAAUUGCGUAAUUUUCAUAAUCUAUACAAUGUACAUAAUAACAUGAGAGACAGUGAAAAUUUUUACAUAGUAUUACAGGCUAGCUGAGACGUGUAGCAUUGAAGUCUGAAGUAUUAUUUGUCAUAUUUUUGUGGAUAGGUUUUAUACUUUUAUACUCAAUUAGUUUCCCUAAAUUUUGAUAUGUUGAGUGCAAACAGAUGAUAAUUACUACAAAAAAAUUGACACCAUAAACAUAAAAGCUAUGGCAAAUAUGAAUUUGAUAAAUUGAAUUCGCCUAUCUAAUACCUCGUACGAUUAAUAAAUUAAUAUAAAACACCUCUGG